ACCUGGGUGGCUCAGUCGGUUGAGCAUCUGACUUCGGCUCAGGUCAUGAUCUCACGGUUCGUGGGUUCAGGUCCCACGUCAGGCU
Transfer RNA from Felis catus (domestic cat), 85 nucleotides. It matches the Rfam family "tRNA". Rfam says of the family: Transfer RNA (tRNA) molecules are approximately 80 nucleotides in length. Their secondary structure includes four short double-helical elements and three loops (D, anti-codon, and T loops). Lineage: Eukaryota; Metazoa; Chordata; Mammalia; Carnivora; Felidae. The record is from Rfam.